GCUCAGGAUGAACGCUGGCGGCGUGCUUAACACAUGCAAGUCGAACGGGAUCCCGGGGGUUCGCUCCCGGGUGAGAGUGGCGAACGGGUGAGUAAUGCGUGACCGACCUGCCCCAUACACCGGAAUAGCUCCUGGAAACGGGUGGUAAUGCCGGAUGCUCCGGUUGGAUGCAUGUCCUUCCGGGAAAGAUUCUAUCGGUAUGGGAUGGGGUCGCGUCCUAUCAGCUUGAUGGCGGGGUAACGGCCCACCAUGGCUUCGACGGGUAGCCGGCCUGAGAGGGCGACCGGCCACAUUGGGACUGAGAUACGGCCCAGACUCCUACGGGAGGCAGCAGUGGGGAAUAUUGCACAAUGGGCGCAAGCCUGAUGCAGCGACGCCGCGUGCGGGAUGGAGGCCUUCGGGUUGUAAACCGCUUUUGAUCGGGAGCAAGCCCUUCGGGGUGA
Molecule: ribosomal RNA, 443 nt
Filed under: Bifidobacterium dentium
Lineage: Bacteria; Bacillati; Actinomycetota; Actinomycetes; Bifidobacteriales; Bifidobacteriaceae
Description: bacterial SSU rRNA
Rfam family: Bacterial small subunit ribosomal RNA
Source: RNAcentral